RNAcentral lists this ribosomal RNA (690 nucleotides) under Escherichia coli. RNAcentral describes it as "partial 23S ribosomal RNA". It matches the Rfam family "Bacterial large subunit ribosomal RNA", at positions 2241 to 2925 of the family's 2925-position model. Lineage: Bacteria; Pseudomonadati; Pseudomonadota; Gammaproteobacteria; Enterobacterales; Enterobacteriaceae. The record is from RNAcentral. RNAcentral also lists the same sequence under 1 other name.
CGGGUUGCGGACAGUGUCUGGUGGGUAGUUUGACUGGGGCGGUCUCCUCCUAAAGAGUAACGGAGGAGCACGAAGGUUGGCUAAUCCUGGUCGGACAUCAGGAGGUUAGUGCAAUGGCAUAAGCCAGCUUGACUGCGAGCGUGACGGCGCGAGCAGGUGCGAAAGCAGGUCAUAGUGAUCCGGUGGUUCUGAAUGGAAGGGCCAUCGCUCAACGGAUAAAAGGUACUCCGGGGAUAACAGGCUGAUACCGCCCAAGAGUUCAUAUCGACGGCGGUGUUUGGCACCUCGAUGUCGGCUCAUCACAUCCUGGGGCUGAAGUAGGUCCCAAGGGUAUGGCUGUUCGCCAUUUAAAGUGGUACGCGAGCUGGGUUUAGAACGUCGUGAGACAGUUCGGUCCCUAUCUGCCGUGGGCGCUGGAGAACUGAGGGGGGCUGCUCCUAGUACGAGAGGACCGGAGUGGACGCAUCACUGGUGUUCGGGUUGUCAUGCCAAUGGCACUGCCCGGUAGCUAAAUGCGGAAGAGAUAAGUGCUGAAAGCAUCUAAGCACGAAACUUGCCCCGAGAUGAGUUCUCCCUGACUCCUUGAGAGUCCUGAAGGAACGUUGAAGACGACGACGUUGAUAGGCCGGGUGUGUAAGCGCAGCGAUGCGUUGAGCUAACCGGUACUAAUGAACCGUGAGGCUUAACCUU